CUGGUCACCAUAUUAGCACGCGCUCCAGCAGGUAUAUUUCACUGGUCACCAUAUCAGCACGCGCUCCAGCAGGUAUAUUUCACUGGUCACCAUAUCAGCACGAGUUCCAGCAGGUAUAUUUCACUGGUCACCAUAUCAGCACGCGCUCCAGCAGGUAUAUUUCACUGGUCACCAUAUUAGCACGCGCUCCAGCAGGUAUAUUUCACUGGUCACCAUAUUAGCACGCGCUCCAGCAGGUAUAUUUCACUGGUCACCAUAUUAGCACGCGCUCCAGCAGGUAUAUUUCACUGGUCACCAUAUCA
This is a long non-coding RNA of Oncorhynchus keta (chum salmon), 302 nucleotides long. RefSeq lists it as uncharacterized. The record is from RefSeq and is a predicted model, not a curated record. The transcript has 3 exons. Lineage: Eukaryota; Metazoa; Chordata; Actinopteri; Salmoniformes; Salmonidae.